This 497-nucleotide ribosomal RNA is filed under the name uncultured bacterium. RNAcentral's name for it is "partial 16S ribosomal RNA". It matches the Rfam family "Bacterial small subunit ribosomal RNA", at positions 28 to 507 of the family's 1533-position model. The record is from RNAcentral.
GAUGAACGCUGGCGGCGUGCCUAAUACAUGCAAGUCGAGCGAACGGACGAGAAGCUUGCUUCUCUGAUUUUAGCGGCGGACGGGUGAGUAACACGUGGACAACCUACCUAUAAGACUGGGAUAAUUUCGGGAAACCGGAGCUACUACCGGAUAAUAUUUUGAACCGCAUGGUUCAAAAGUGAAAGACGGUCUUGCUGUCACUUAUAGAUGAAUCCGCCCUGCAUCAGCUAGUUGGGAAGGUAACGGCUUACCAACGCAACGAUGCAUAGCCGACCUGAGAGGGUGGUCGGACAGCCUGGCAGUGAGACACGGUACAGACUCCUACGGGAGGAAGCAGUAGGGAAUCUUACGCGAUGGGGGAGAGGCUGACGGAGCAAAGCCGCGUGAGUGAUGAAGGUCUUCGGAUGGUAGAACUCUGUUAUUAGGGAAGAACAAAUGUGUAAGUAACUGGGCACAUCAUGACGGUACCUAAUCAGAAAGCCACGGCUAACUACGUG